UUUGCGUGUUUCUGGAACAGGC
This 22-nucleotide microRNA is filed under the name Shrimp white spot syndrome virus. RNAcentral describes it as "wssv-mir126". The record is from RNAcentral. Lineage: Naldaviricetes; Nimaviridae.